Molecule: long non-coding RNA, 934 nt
Filed under: Mus musculus (house mouse)
Lineage: Eukaryota; Metazoa; Chordata; Mammalia; Rodentia; Muridae
Description: cone-rod homeobox, opposite strand
Source: RNAcentral
GGCUACAGGUUGGAGGGUCCCUGCUCAGUGCGCCCAACUUGAAGCUCAGUUUGAAUCCUAAAUCCUUAGAGCAUACCUUCAAUCACAACUGAAGUGAGCUACAGGCGAAAUGGAAGCAUCUCCACGUUCCCUGACCUCCUGUACCCUGGGUCCCCUUGACCAGAAGUUCAGUUGGGAGCAGCUUUCAGAGCUGGAAGCAUACUUCAAGGUGGAACCAUACCCAGACCUCCAGGAUCGAAAGAUCAUGGCCACCAGACUGAAACUGAAAGAGGAACAAGUUGAGGCUUGGUUCAUCCAGAGAUCCUUGGAGGAGGAGAUGCGGCCCCCCUUGGCCAGGCUGCAGCAGUCUGCCCUGGAUGGUACCUCUUCUCCUUCCCACAAAGCCCUGUGCUGCAGGCCACCAAGCUGGAAGUACAGGCUCAUUCCCAUCAAUCCCCCUGAGUCCUCGACCAGCUGCUUAAAGGAUAGCAAAACUGUAUUAAUUUCAAAGACGGAGUUGACCGAUGAGCAGUUCCAGAAGCUAAGAAAGCACUUCGAGACAGACCGUUGCCCUAAUGAGGAAACUCUGCAGGCCUUCGCUGAGGAACUCAAACUACGGAAAGACCUCAUCAGAUCCUGGUUCAUCACUCAGCGUCACAGAAUGAGGGGGUACAGACGGUUAUUUAUGCGCUACUACAGGGAUUGGAAAACGUCCCGUGAGUACUCUACAACAAGAAGUUUCGACAGGCAGAAGAACUCCAAGGAGUGCUCUCAGAAUGACCCUGGACUCCCCGAAGCAUUGGAAGCCUUGAAGAGGCUCAAGCUCUCUUCUGGGUACCAAAGCAGAGAUGGCAUGUCACAAGAUUUCUGACUUUUCAACUUCUUGGUGGGGGCAGGCGUCUGUCUAUGGGAGAAGGUACAUUAAUAAUAAAGCGUGCAUUCAUAGAGUCGAAAA